GAUGAACGCUGGCGGCGUGCCUAGUACAUGCAAGUAGAACGCUGAAGCUUGGUGCUUGCACCGAGCGGAUGAGUUGCGAACGGGUGAGUAACGCGUAGGUAACCUGCCUCUUAGCGGGGGAUAACUAUUGGAAACGAUAGCUAAUACCGCAUAAAAGUCGAUAUCGCAUGAUAUUGAUUUGAAAGGUGCAAAUGCAUCACUAAGAGAUGGACCUGCGUUGUAUUAGCUAGUUGGUGAGGUAACGGCUCACCAAGGCGACGAUACAUAGCCGACCUGAGAGGGUGAUCGGCCACACUGGGACUGAGACACGGCCCAGACUCCUACGGGAGGCAGCAGGAGGGAAUCUUCGGCAAUGGGGGCAACCCUGACCGAGCAACGCCGCGUGAGUGAAGAAGGGUGUCGGAUCGUAAAGCUCUGUUGUAAGAGAAGAACGAGUGUGAGAGUGGAAAGUUCACACUGUGACGGUAACUGACCAGAAAGGGACGGCUAACUACGUG
This 497-nucleotide ribosomal RNA is filed under the name uncultured bacterium. RNAcentral describes it as "partial 16S ribosomal RNA". It matches the Rfam family "Bacterial small subunit ribosomal RNA", at positions 28 to 507 of the family's 1533-position model. The record is from RNAcentral.